CCUUCACCCCAGUCUCCCACUCUCUCUCCCAGCUGCUUCUCUGAUGAGAUGACCUUGUUUGACAUCAGCAGCAGUGACAGCCUCAGGGGCCAUCCCAACUGCUUCCCACCAAAGGCAGCAAAAUCCCCUUUGCAAACUCUCAUAAGCAUGAAUUUUCCAAAGACCUCUUUUACUGAGAAACUCGAGCAAACCAACACAAGCCAAUAACUGGGAGAGCAACAUGGUGUGAAAAAGAAAAACAGCACUUCGAGUCCUAGUUUCAUCAUGUACAAUGAAUAUGUGUAGCCUUGGAAGUAACCCUGGACUUAGUAUUUUUAUCAGUAAAAUGGAGAGAGUAUUCGUAACAGCUGCCCUGCGUCCAUCACGAGAAACUGCAAGGAAGAAAAGUGGACAAAUCACAUGAUGGCAUCUGGCCAACUGCAAAUCACAAGGCAGCUUGUAUUCCCAGCAGCCAUAAGAUGGGACAUUAAUAUGUCCUACACAGGGCUAUUGUGUGGAUUCUUCCGUGUUUUACAUUGCGUGCUUACUAGGGACUGGGCACACUGUGUGUGUGGGUUAAGACAAAGUUCUUGCCUCCGCGGAGCUUACAUUCCAGGGGGCGGGCAGACAGUGAACAAAUACACAUCUUAAUGCCAGUUAGUGAUGAAUGAAAAGCAAAUAAAGAUAUAGUGAAUCGUGGGACGAAGAAGGCCGUUGGCUGCAUAUCCAGGAAGGUGUCUGGGGAACACAUUGUCACACUUACACUGGACAGGCACCACAGCGAAGUGACAGUGUGGGUAACGGGAAGAAUGGAGGUGCAAAAGAAACGGCAAAUGCAAAGGCCCUGCGGCAGGAACAGAAGGAAGACAAAUGUGAUCGGGGCAUGUAAGCGACGUACGGGAGAUGAGUUCUCAGAGGAAGGCCAGGGCCCGACGCUGUGGGUUCUCCUAACCCAAAGAAAAGAGUCUGCACAUCACCCUGUGUGCGUUGUGAAGCUACUGGGGUGGGGAUGCAGGGAAUUGAACAAGGAAUGACACCUACGGGUUUAUGUAUUUUGAGAAAGAGUUCUGGCUGCUGCAGAAUGGAUGGGAACAUGAGAAAGGGGAAGAGAGUAAAGUACAGAAAGCAGCUAGCAGCCAUUGCAGGUGUCUCAGCAAAGGACCAAAGUACCGAUGGUAACGGGAAUGCAAAGUUGUGCAAAGGCUACUGAUUCUUCCAAAAUGAAGAUGCUCUAUUCAAGAGGCAAAGAAAUAACGUCUAAGUAGCUUCCUGUACUAUGGAAUAUUUGAGUUGGAGCGAACACUCCGUGAUCUAUCAGUUCCCGCACUGUACUCCUACUGAGAUGAGAAGUACAUACACGAGAGAGAUGGUUGGCGGCAAGGUAACAAAGAAAAGCCCAGAGUUUUGAAAAGCCCAGAGUUGCCUCUUGUCUGAAAUUUUCCUGGUGUUCUUGACAAAAGAUCUGAGAGGAGGAGAAAUUAACA
Microcebus murinus (gray mouse lemur) is the source of this 1463-nucleotide non-coding RNA. Lineage: Eukaryota; Metazoa; Chordata; Mammalia; Primates; Cheirogaleidae. The record is from RefSeq and is a predicted model, not a curated record.